UACGGAGGGUGCGAGCGUUGUUCGGAAUCACUGGGCGUAAAGGGCGCGUAGGCGGUCUUAUAAGUCAGAUGUGAAAGCCCACGGCUUAACCGUGGAAGAGCAUUUGAAACUGCAAGACUUGAGUACCAGAGGGGAAGGUGGAAUUCCCGGUGUAGAGGUGAAAUUCGUAGAUAUCGGGAGGAAUACCGGUGGCGAAGGCGACCUUCUGGCUGGAUACUGACGCUGAGGCGCGAAAGCGUGGGGAGCAAACAGG
Molecule: ribosomal RNA, 253 nt
Filed under: uncultured bacterium
Lineage: Bacteria
Description: partial 16S ribosomal RNA
Rfam family: Bacterial small subunit ribosomal RNA
Source: RNAcentral